GGGUAGCUACGUCUGGCAAAGAUAACCGCUGAAAGCAUCUAAGUGGGAAACUUGCCUUAAGAUUAGAUCACUUUUAUCGUCAAGAUAGUAAGAUCGCAGGUAGACCACCUGCUUGAUAGGCAGUAUGUGUUAGUGCAGCAAUGCAUUGAGCUAAACUGUACUAAUGAUCGAGGGCUUC
Molecule: ribosomal RNA, 178 nt
Filed under: Chloroflexota bacterium
Lineage: Bacteria; Bacillati; Chloroflexota
Description: Chloroflexi bacterium (anaerobic digester metagenome) partial 23S ribosomal RNA
Rfam family: Bacterial large subunit ribosomal RNA
Source: RNAcentral